GACGAACGCUGGCGGCGUGCCUAAUACAUGCAAGUCGAACGCUUCUUUCCUCCCGAGUGCUUGCACUCAAUUGGAAAGAGGAGUGGCGGACGGGUGAGUAACACGUGGGUAACCUACCCAUCAGAGGGGGAUAACACUUGGAAACAGGUGCUAAUACCGCAUAACAGUUUAUGCCGCAUGGCAUAAGAGUGAAAGGCGCUUUCGGGUGUCGCUGAUGGAUGGACCCGCGGUGCAUUAGCUAGUUGGUGAGGUAACGGCUCACCAAGGCCACGAUGCAUAGCCGACCUGAGAGGGUGAUCGGCCACACUGGGACUGAGACACGGCCCAGACUCCUACGGGAGGCAGCAGUAGGGAAUCUUCGGCAAUGGACGAAAGUCUGACCGAGCAACGCUGCGUGAGUGAAGAAGGUUUUCGGAUCGUAAAACUCUGUUGUUAGAGAAGAACAAGGACGUUAGUAACUGAACGUCCCCUGACGGUAUCUAACCAGAAAGCCACGGCUAACUACGUG
Molecule: ribosomal RNA, 508 nt
Filed under: uncultured bacterium
Lineage: Bacteria
Description: partial 16S ribosomal RNA
Rfam family: Bacterial small subunit ribosomal RNA
Source: RNAcentral